AACGAACGCUGGCGGCAUGCCUAACACAUGCAAGUCGAACGAGACCUUCGGGUCUAGUGGCGCACGGGUGCGUAACGCGUGGGAACCUGCCCUUAGGCUCGGAAUAACUCCCCGAAAGGGGUGCUAAUACCGGAUAAUGUCUUCGGACCAAAGAUUUAUCGCCUUUGGAUGGGCCCGCGUUGGAUUAGCUAGUUGGUAGGGUAAAAGCCUACCAAGGCUACGAUCCAUAGCUGGUCUGAGAGGAUGAUCAGCCACACUGGGACUGGGAAACGGCCCAGACUCCUACGGGAGGCAGCAGUGGGGAAUAUUGGAAAAUGGGCGAAAGCCUGAACCAGCAAUGCCGCGAGAGUGAUGAAGGCCUGAGGGUUGUAAAGCUCUUUUACCCGGGAUGAUAAUGACAGUACCGGGAGAAUAAGCUCCGGCUAACUCCGUG
This 433-nucleotide ribosomal RNA is filed under the name uncultured bacterium. RNAcentral's name for it is "partial 16S ribosomal RNA". It matches the Rfam family "Bacterial small subunit ribosomal RNA", at positions 29 to 507 of the family's 1533-position model. The record is from RNAcentral.